UACGGAGGGUGCAAGCGUCAUCCGGAUUCACUGGGUUUAAAGGGUGUGUAGGCGGGUAUUUAAGUCAGUGGUGAAAUCUCCAGGCUCAACCUGGAAACUGCCAUUGAUACUAUUUAUCUUGAAUCCUGUUGAGGUGGGCGGAAUAUAUCAUGUAGCGGUGAAAUGCAUAGAUAUGAUAUAGAACACCGAUUGCGAAGGCAGCUCACUAAACAGGCAUUGACGCUGAGGCACGAAAGCGUGGGGAUCAACAGG
This 252-nucleotide ribosomal RNA is filed under the name uncultured bacterium. RNAcentral's name for it is "partial 16S ribosomal RNA". It matches the Rfam family "Bacterial small subunit ribosomal RNA", at positions 524 to 775 of the family's 1533-position model. The record is from RNAcentral.